Molecule: ribosomal RNA, 522 nt
Filed under: uncultured bacterium
Lineage: Bacteria
Description: bacterial SSU rRNA
Rfam family: Bacterial small subunit ribosomal RNA
Source: RNAcentral
AAUAGAUACCCGGGUAGUCCACGCCGUAAACGAUGAGUGCUAAGUGUUAGAGGGUUUCCGCCCUUUAGUGCUGCAGCUAACGCAUUAAGCACUCCGCCUGGGGAGUACGGUCGCAAGACUGAAACUCAAAGGAAUUGACGGGGGCCCGCACAAGCGGUGGAGCAUGUGGUUUAAUUCGAAGCAACGCGAAGAACCUUACCAGGUCUUGACAUCCUCUGACAACUCUAGAGAUAGAGCGUUCCCCUUCGGGGGACAGAGUGACAGGUGGUGCACGGUUGUCGUCAGCUCGUGUCGUGAGAUGUUGGGUUAAGUCCCGCAACGAGCGCAACCCUUGAUCUUAGUUGCCAGCAUUCAGUUGGGCACUCUAAGGUGACUGCCGGUGACAAACCGGAGGAAGGUGGGGAUGACGUCAAAUCAUCAUGCCCCUUAUGACCUGGGCUACACACGUGCUACAAUGGAUGGUACAAAGGGCUGCAAGACCGCGAGGUCAAGCCAAUCCCAUAAAACCAUUCUCAGUUCGGA